RNAcentral lists this ribosomal RNA (254 nucleotides) under uncultured bacterium. RNAcentral's name for it is "partial 16S ribosomal RNA". It matches the Rfam family "Bacterial small subunit ribosomal RNA", at positions 524 to 776 of the family's 1533-position model. The record is from RNAcentral.
CACGUAGGGGGCGAGCGUUGUCCGGAUUUAUUGGGCGUAAAGAGCUCGUAGGCGGUUCGGCAAGUCGGGUGUGAAAUUUCGAGGCUCAACCUCGAAACGCCACUCGAUACUGCUGUGACUGGAGUCCGGUAGAGGAGUGCGGAAUUCCUGGUGUAGCGGUGAAAUGCGCAGAUAUCAGGAGGAACACCAACGGCGAAGGCAGCACGCUGGGCCGGUACUGACGCUGAGGAGCGAAAGCGUGGGGAGCAAACAGG